This 253-nucleotide ribosomal RNA is filed under the name uncultured bacterium. Its description in RNAcentral is "partial 16S ribosomal RNA". It matches the Rfam family "Bacterial small subunit ribosomal RNA", at positions 524 to 776 of the family's 1533-position model. The record is from RNAcentral.
UACGUAGGUGGCAAGCGUUGUCCGGAAUUAUUGGGCGUAAAGCGCGCGCAGGUGGUUUCUUAAGUCUGAUGUGAAAGCCCACGGCUCAACCGUGGAGGGUCAUUGGAAACUGGGGGACUUGAGUACAGAAGAGAAGAGUGGAAUUCCACGUGUAGCGGUGAAAUGCGUAGAGAUGUGGAGGAACACCAGUGGCGAAGGCGACUCUUUGGUCUGUAACUGACGCUGAGGCGCGAAAGCGUGGGGAGCAAACAGG